CAGCCGCCGCGGUAAUACGAAGGGUGCAAGCGUUAAUCGGAAUUACUGGGCGUAAAGCGUGCGUAGGCGGUGAGUUAAGUCUGCUGUGAAAUCCCCGGGCUCAACCUGGGAAUGGCAGUGGAUACUGGCUCGCUAGAGUGUGUCAGAGGAUGGUGGAAUUCCCGGUGUAGCGGUGAAAUGCGUAGAGAUCUGGAGGAACAUCAGUGGCGAAGGCGGCCAUCUGGGACAACACUGACGCUGAGGCACGAAAGCGUGGGGAGCAAACAGGAUUAGAUACCCCAGUAGUCCCUGUCUCUUAUAC
RNAcentral lists this ribosomal RNA (301 nucleotides) under uncultured bacterium. RNAcentral describes it as "partial 16S ribosomal RNA". It matches the Rfam family "Bacterial small subunit ribosomal RNA", at positions 509 to 807 of the family's 1533-position model. The record is from RNAcentral.